Molecule: ribosomal RNA, 358 nt
Filed under: Haptophyta environmental samples
Lineage: Eukaryota; Haptophyta
Description: SSU rRNA
Rfam family: Eukaryotic small subunit ribosomal RNA
Source: RNAcentral
UAGCGUAUAUUAAAGUUGUUGCAGUUAAAACGCUCGUAGUCGGAUUUCGGGGCGGGCCGACCGGUCUGCCGAUGGGUAUGCACUGGCCGGCGCGUCCUUCCUUCCGGAGACCGCGCCUACUCUUAACUGAGCGGGUGCGGGAGACGGAUCGUUUACUUUGAAAAAAUCAGAGUGUUUCAAGCAGGCAGCUCGCUCUUGCAUGGAUUAGCAUGGGAUAAUGAAAUAGGACUUUGGUGCUAUUUUGUUGGUUUCGAACACCGAAGUAAUGAUGAGAAGGGACAGUCAGGGGCACUCGUAUUCCGCCGAGAGAGGUGAAAUUCUCAGACCAGCGGAAGACGAACCACUGCGAAAGCAUUUG